This 450-nucleotide ribosomal RNA is filed under the name uncultured bacterium. Its description in RNAcentral is "partial 16S ribosomal RNA". It matches the Rfam family "Bacterial small subunit ribosomal RNA", at positions 354 to 796 of the family's 1533-position model. The record is from RNAcentral.
GUGGGGAAUUUUGGACAAUGGGGGCAACCCUGAUCCAGCAAUGCCGCGUGCAGGAAGAAGGCCUUCGGGUUGUAAACUGCUUUUGUACGGAACGAAACGGUCUGGGUUAAUACCCUGGGCUAAUGACGGUACCGUAAGAAUAAGCACCGGCUAACUACGUGCCAGCAGCCGCGGUAAUACGUAGGGUGCGAGCGUUAAUCGGAAUUACUGGGCGUAAAGCGUGCGCAGGCGGUUUUGUAAGACAGAGGUGAAAUCCCCGGGCUCAACCUGGGAGCUGCCUUUGUGACUGCAAGGCUGGAGUGCGGCAGAGGGGGAUGGAAUUCCGCGUGUAGCAGUGAAAUGCGUAGAUAUGUGGAGGAACACCGAUGGCGAAGGCAAUCCCCUGGGCCUGCACUGACGCUCAUGCACGAAAGCGUGGGGAGCAAACAGGAUUAGAUACCCCUGUAGUCC